UCAGAUCAAGAGCUUGCGGGGACCUUUUUUUAUGGUGCUACUUGAUUUCUUUGGUUUACUUGAGUUGGAUUGAAGUUCUAUUGAUCGAGGAUACUUUGCACUUCAUGUGUUGUUGCUUGAUGUGAACUCUAGGAUGCAUGCGCCACAUAGGAUCUGGACGAGGCCUUAGUGACAUAAUAACAAUGAUAGUCGAGAUGUAGUUUGUUUGUUCUAUGUUAAGACAAUGUUGAUGUUUAAUUUUAUCAAUAAAACGGAACUCUUUUUGUAUCCAUGGUUGUGAAACAAUAAUUCUGUUACAAC
RNAcentral lists this long non-coding RNA (300 nucleotides) under Helianthus annuus (common sunflower). RNAcentral's name for it is "sRNA HanXRQr2_Chr11g0491871". Lineage: Eukaryota; Viridiplantae; Streptophyta; Magnoliopsida; Asterales; Asteraceae. The record is from RNAcentral.